AAGACAGGGUUUUCUUUUUUUCAACAAGUGCAAAAGUGUUGCUGAUAAUAAACUUCAAAAUUUACAUUAGCCUGAUAUAUGAAACACAGCUGCAACAAGCAUAUCUUUCCUCAAUUCCGAAAUGCACCUCUCCUAUAUACACUACUCCUCAAAGAAGCAGGACCUUGCCGCGUGGCAUCACCUGUGUGGAUACAAAACAAGGAAAACCUAGGACGAGUAGCACUCUCCACAACAUCACAUUAAUUCUACAGCAACCCAAACGACAAGCUCGGAUAUAUACUGCAAUAAAUAAUACAAGACACCGACAAAGCUCCACCCAUCAGUAUUCCCGCCCGGAGCCCUCCCUCCACAAGAUCAAAUACAGCCUUCCGUCCAUCUCUAGCGCAUACGAGAUUUCGUUGCCGUCCUAACCAUCAUCAAAUUAGCCCCCUCCCUGUCCCUGGGCAGAGACAACAAGAUUAAUCAAUGUGACAACAUUCCUCAAUCUCUAAAAAUUACCGAUAGGAAAAUGACCUGCACAGGAACACUUUGCACUGCAUUUUAUAGCAAAAUCACUGACAGCUCCAUGCAGCUAAACCUCCAGAAACCCAAACAGUUCUGUCUCUCUCAGUGCACAGGCAAG
RNAcentral lists this long non-coding RNA (622 nucleotides) under Triticum aestivum (bread wheat). RNAcentral's name for it is "long non-coding RNA (TAES_LNC024271)". The record is from RNAcentral. Lineage: Eukaryota; Viridiplantae; Streptophyta; Magnoliopsida; Poales; Poaceae.